UGCCGGGGCUGCCGCGCCGCGCCGUGCCGGGGAGGAGCCCGAGGGGGCGCUCCCUCAGGUGAGCGAGGGGCUGCCUCGUGCGCGCGCUGCGCUUUCCCGCCCAUCGCCUGAGGCGAGCGCGGCGCGCUCUGGGCCGAUGAGGCACCCACACCGUACACCGCUCCUGCUUUGUUCCGCCUGCGGCAAACGGUGCCGGGACGAAAAGGGGCGGCCGGAACGGUCCUCUAGUGCAGCAGCCCUGGUCCAGCUGUCGUGGUACUGCUGAUACAACCCAGAGUGCUCAGUUCCCUCUGCUUCCAACCCAGACUCACAAUGUGGAGAGUAUCCUUAUUGAGAUGGAAAUCUGAAUGAGGAAAAAUGGUCCAUUCCCAGUGGAGAUAAAUUUAAGAUCCUGUCAUGCAUCAGUGGUGGCCUUUCUAAGCUAGGUUACUGAGCUUUGAGUGGAAGAUGAAAGGAGUAGAAUUUGUUCCAUCUGUAUGACCUGCGUAGUACUCGUGUCAGACCUACCAGGCAGAUCCAACAGCAUUUCACCUGAGUUUACUCCAGCUCUUUUGUCCACGGUUAGGAAAUGGUAGGUAUGUAACACACUCACCGCAGCCCCAAGUUCACCAGGACACGGCUCUCCACCACUACUGGCUCCCACUUGAAGUACAAAGAUUGUGUCUCAAACACUCUUUGGAACUUGAUGAUCCUUGAGGUCCCUUCCAACCCAAGCCAUUCCAUUCUUAUCUGUCACUAUACUCAUCUCUGGGCUGAUAAGAGCCGAGGCACUUAAGGAAACUUCAGGUGAUUUUCCAGGAAAAAAAAUUUCUAUCUAUAUGAGUAGAUACUAAUACUGUAAACUGCCUUUGUAUUUCAGCUGCCUAUUGAUGUACGCACUGAGGCAAUGCAAAGGCUUUGAAAUAAACUUACUAAACUUAUUGAAAAUCUCCAACUGACGGAGAGCAUUAAUGAGGCACAAAUUCUCUUGCUCAUGUCAGCA
This is a non-coding RNA of Meleagris gallopavo (turkey), 982 nucleotides long. NCBI's taxonomy places the organism in Eukaryota, Metazoa, Chordata, Aves, Galliformes, Phasianidae. The record is from RefSeq and is a predicted model, not a curated record.